This 229-nucleotide ribosomal RNA is filed under the name uncultured bacterium. RNAcentral describes it as "partial 16S ribosomal RNA". It matches the Rfam family "Bacterial small subunit ribosomal RNA", at positions 568 to 796 of the family's 1533-position model. The record is from RNAcentral.
CGCGUAGGCGGCCGUUUAAGUCAGAUGUGAAAGCCCGGGGCUCAACCCCGGAAGUGCAUUUGAUACUAUUCGGCUUGAGUAUGGGAGAGGGAAGUGGAAUUCCUGGUGUAGAGGUGAAAUUCGUAGAUAUCAGGAGGAACACCAGUGGCGAAGGCGACUUCCUGGACCAAUACUGACGCUGAGGCGCGAAGGCGUGGGGAGCAAACAGGAUUAGAUACCCUGGUAGUCC